Molecule: non-coding RNA, 74 nt
Organism: Brassica napus (rape)
Lineage: Eukaryota; Viridiplantae; Streptophyta; Magnoliopsida; Brassicales; Brassicaceae
Source: Rfam
ACACUUUGCCAAGUUGUUGAAUGCUCAGGAAAUUUCUGAGUAUAAUGAUUCACUUAAAUAAGAAGAUCUGAUGU